RNAcentral lists this ribosomal RNA (406 nucleotides) under uncultured bacterium. RNAcentral's name for it is "partial 16S ribosomal RNA". It matches the Rfam family "Bacterial small subunit ribosomal RNA", at positions 29 to 526 of the family's 1533-position model. The record is from RNAcentral.
AUUGAACGCUGGCGGCAGGCCUAACACAUGCAAGUCGAACGAGUGGCGGACGGGUGAGUAAUGUCUGGGAAACUGCCUGAUGGAGGGGGAUAACUACUGGAAACGGUAGCUAAUACCGCAUACCGGCAGAUGUGCCCAGAUGGGAUUAGCUGGUUGGUGGGGUAACGGCUCACCAAGGCGACGAUGCCGAGCUGGUCUGAGAGGAGGACCAGCCACACUGGAACUGAGACACGGCCCAGACUCCUACGGGAGGCAGCAGUGGGGAAUAUUGCACAAUGGGCGCAAGCCUGAUGCAGCCAUGCCGCGUGUAUGAAGAAGGCCUUAGGGUUGUAAAGUACUUUCAGCGGGGAGGCGUUACCCGCAGAAGAAGCACCGGCUAACUCCGUGCCAGCAGCCGCGGUAAUUC